RNAcentral lists this ribosomal RNA (493 nucleotides) under uncultured bacterium. RNAcentral describes it as "partial 16S ribosomal RNA". It matches the Rfam family "Bacterial small subunit ribosomal RNA", at positions 28 to 507 of the family's 1533-position model. The record is from RNAcentral.
GACGAACGCUGGCGGCGUGCUUAACACAUGCAAGUCGAACGGUGAAGCGCCUUCCUUUUUGGUGGGUGUGGAUGAGUGGCGAACGGGUGAGUAACACGUGAGUAACCUGCCCCCUCUUCUGGAUAACCGCAUGAAAGGGUGGCUAAUACGGGAUAUUCUGGGUCUGUCGCAUGAUGGGUCUGGGAAAGAUAUUGUUUCGGGGGGGGAUGGGCUCGCGGCCUAUCAGCUUGUUGGUGGGGUGAUGGCCUACCAAGGCGGUGACGGGUAGCCGGCCUGAGAGGGUGGACGGUCACACUGGGACUGAGACACGGCCCAGACUCCUACGGGAGGCAGCAGUGGGGAAUAUUGCACAAUGGGCGCAAGCCUGAUGCAGCGACGCCGCGUGAGGGAUGGAGGCCUUCGGGUUGUGAACCUCUUUCGCCAGUGAAGCAGGCCUGCCUCGUUUGUGGGUGGGUUGACGGUAGCUGGAUAAGAAGCGCCGGCUAACUACGUG